UACAGAGGGUGCGAGCGUUAAUCGGAAUUACUGGGCGUAAAGCGCACGUAGGCGGCUUGGUAUGUCGGGUGUGAAAUCCCCGGGCUCAACCUGGGAACUGCAUCCGAAACUGCCUUGCUAGAGUAUGGGAGAGGGAAGUGGAAUUUCCGGUGUAGCGGUGAAAUGCGUAGAUAUCGGAAGGAACAUCAGUGGCGAAGGCGACUUCCUGGACCAUAACUGACGCUGAGGCGCGAAAGCGUGGGGAGCAAACAGG
This 253-nucleotide ribosomal RNA is filed under the name uncultured bacterium. Its description in RNAcentral is "partial 16S ribosomal RNA". It matches the Rfam family "Bacterial small subunit ribosomal RNA", at positions 524 to 776 of the family's 1533-position model. The record is from RNAcentral.